Molecule: ribosomal RNA, 444 nt
Filed under: uncultured bacterium
Lineage: Bacteria
Description: partial 16S ribosomal RNA
Rfam family: Bacterial small subunit ribosomal RNA
Source: RNAcentral
CCAGACUCCUACGGGAGGCAGCAGUGGGGAAUAUUGCACAAUGGGGGAAACCCUGAUGCAGCGACGCCGCGUGAGCGAUGAAGUAUUUCGGUAUGUAAAGCUCUAUCAGCAGGGAAGAAAAUGACGGUACCUGACUAAGAAGCCCCGGCUAACUACGUGCCAGCAGCCGCGGUAAUACGUAGGGGGCAAGCGUUAUCCGGAUUUACUGGGUGUAAAGGGAGCGUAGACGGCGGUGCAAGCCAGAUGUGAAAGCCCGGGGCUCAACCCCGGGACUGCAUUUGGAACUGUGCUGCUAGAGUGUCGGAGAGGCAGGCGGAAUUCCUAGUGUAGCGGUGAAAUGCGUAGAUAUUAGGAGGAACACCAGUGGCGAAGGCGGAUUGCUGGACAGUAACUGACGCUGAGGCGCGAAAGCGUGGGGAGCAAACAGGAUUAGAUACCCCCGUA